GAUGAACGCUGGCGGCGUGCCUAAUACAUGCAAGUCGAGCGAACAGACGAGGAGCUUGCUCCUCUGACGUUAGCGGCGGACGGGUGAGUAACACGUGGAUAACCUACCUAUAAGACUUGGAUAACUUCGGGAAACCGGAGCUAAUACCGGAUAAUAUAUUGAACCGCAUGGUUCAAUAGUGAAAGACGGUUUUGCUGUCUCUUUUAGCUGGAUCCGUGCCGCAUUAGCUAGUUGGUAAGGUAACGGCUUACCAAGGCGACGAUGCGUAGCCGACCUGAGAGGGUGAUCGGCCACACUGGAACUGAGACACGGUCCAGACUCCUACGGGAGGCAGCAGUAGGGAAUCUUCCGCAAUGGGCGAAAGCCUGACGGAGCAACGCCGCGUGAGUGAUGAAGGUCUUCGGAUCGUAAAACUCUGUUAUUAGGGAAGAACAAAUGUGUAAGUAACUAUGCACGUCUUGACGGUACCUAAUGAGAAAGCCACGGCUAACUACGUG
RNAcentral lists this ribosomal RNA (497 nucleotides) under uncultured bacterium. Its description in RNAcentral is "partial 16S ribosomal RNA". It matches the Rfam family "Bacterial small subunit ribosomal RNA", at positions 28 to 507 of the family's 1533-position model. The record is from RNAcentral.